Molecule: ribosomal RNA, 1614 nt
Filed under: Escherichia coli
Lineage: Bacteria; Pseudomonadati; Pseudomonadota; Gammaproteobacteria; Enterobacterales; Enterobacteriaceae
Description: bacterial LSU rRNA
Rfam family: Bacterial large subunit ribosomal RNA
Source: RNAcentral
AUGCUGGAGGUAUCAGAAGUGCGAAUGCUGACAUAAGUAACGAUAAAGCGGGUGAAAAGCCCGCUCGCCGGAAGACCAAGGGUUCCUGUCCAACGUUAAUCGGGGCAGGGUGAGUCGACCCCUAAGGCGAGGCCGAAAGGCGUAGUCGAUGGGAAACAGGUUAAUAUUCCUGUACUUGGUGUUACUGCGAAGGGGGGACGGAGAAGGCUAUGUUGGCCGGGCGACGGUUGUCCCGGUUUAAGCGUGUAGGCUGGUUUUCCAGGCAAAUCCGGAAAAUCAAGGCUGAGGCGUGAUGACGAGGCACUACGGUGCUGAAGCAACAAAUGCCCUGCUUCCAGGAAAAGCCUCUAAGCAUCAGGUAACAUCAAAUCGUACCCCAAACCGACACAGGUGGUCAGGUAGAGAAUACCAAGGCGCUUGAGAGAACUCGGGUGAAGGAACUAGGCAAAAUGGUGCCGUAACUUCGGGAGAAGGCACGCUGAUAUGUAGGUGAAGUCCCUCGCGGAUGGAGCUGAAAUCAGUCGAAGAUACCAGCUGGCUGCAACUGUUUAUUAAAAACACAGCACUGUGCAAACACGAAAGUGGACGUAUACGGUGUGACGCCUGCCCGGUGCCGGAAGGUUAAUUGAUGGGGUCAGCGCAAGCGAAGCUCUUGAUCGAAGCCCCGGUAAACGGCGGCCGUAACUAUAACGGUCCUAAGGUAGCGAAAUUCCUUGUCGGGUAAGUUCCGACCUGCACGAAUGGCGUAAUGAUGGCCAGGCUGUCUCCACCCGAGACUCAGUGAAAUUGAACUCGCUGUGAAGAUGCAGUGUACCCGCGGCAAGACGGAAAGACCCCGUGAACCUUUACUAUAGCUUGACACUGAACAUUGAGCCUUGAUGUGUAGGAUAGGUGGGAGGCUUUGAAGUGUGGACGCCAGUCUGCAUGGAGCCGACCUUGAAAUACCACCCUUUAAUGUUUGAUGUUCUAACGUUGACCCGUGAUCCGGGUUGCGGACAGUGUCUGGUGGGUAGUUUGACUGGGGCGGUCUCCUCCUAAAGAGUAACGGAGGAGCACGAAGGUUGGCUAAUCCUGGUCGGACAUCAGGAGGUUAGUGCAAUGGCAUAAGCCAGCUUGACUGCGAGCGUGACGGCGCGAGCAGGUGCGAAAGCAGGUCAUAGUGAUCCGGUGGUUCUGAAUGGAAGGGCCAUCGCUCAACGGAUAAAAGGUACUCCGGGGAUAACAGGCUGAUACCGCCCAAGAGUUCAUAUCGACGGCGGUGUUUGGCACCUCGAUGUCGGCUCAUCACAUCCUGGGGCUGAAGUAGGUCCCAAGGGUAUGGCUGUUCGCCAUUUAAAGUGGUACGCGAGCUGGGUUUAGAACGUCGUGAGACAGUUCGGUCCCUAUCUGCCGUGGGCGCUGGAGAACUGAGGGGGGCUGCUCCUAGUACGAGAGGACCGGAGUGGACGCAUCACUGGUGUUCGGGUUGUCAUGCCAAUGGCACUGCCCGGUAGCUAAAUGCGGAAGAGAUAAGUGCUGAAAGCAUCUAAGCACGAAACUUGCCCCGAGAUGAGUUCUCCCUGACUCCUUGAGAGUCCUGAAGGAACGUUGAAGACGACGACGUUGAUAGGCCGG